This 2114-nucleotide small RNA is filed under the name Pan troglodytes (chimpanzee). Its description in RNAcentral is "retained intron". The record is from RNAcentral. Lineage: Eukaryota; Metazoa; Chordata; Mammalia; Primates; Hominidae.
GGUUUUGGGACAGCGGCAAUCAUGGCGCCACCCGUGAGAUACUGCAUCCCCGGCGAACGUCUGUGUAACUUGGAGGAGGGCAGCCCGGGCAGCGGCACCUACACCCGCCACGGCUACAUCUUUUCGUCGCUUGCCGGUUGUCUGAUGAAGAGCAGCGAGAAUGGCGCGGUAAAGGAAGCGGCGUGCCAUCUCCUCUCUGUUUUUCCCUUAGGCUGCCCUUGAGUUCCAGUCCUUAGGCAUGGGCACUGCGGACGCGUCUUUAGUGUCUCAGUGGUACAAUGUUGGUCUCUUAGUUUCUUCUAGCCGUAUCGCCGCUGUGGUGCACUUAGCCACCACACACUAGUUGUGUUGAUCUCGCUUGGUUGUGCUGCUGACCCUCGGGGAGGGGAAGUUGGGACAAAAGCAGAUGCGAACUCAGUAUCCCAUCCCAGCCCAGCCCAGCCCAGCAGUGAGUUGCAUACUGUAUGAAUGUUGCUUACCUCUCCGACUUUAUCUAGCGCCACUAUCUCCACCUCACUGACGCAAUCUAGUCAUACUGUCUUUUCUGUUUUUAAAAGUUAUAAUCACAGUCUCUGCUUGCCCUUUAAAAAAUUUUUAUAACAUACUAGCUUCUUUCAGUGUCGGUAAUGCGCCAAGCUUUUUCCUGCUACAGAGCCUUUGUAACAUGCCAUCUAUCUGGAACGCUUCUAUCUUCCUAGGCCUAUUUAAUUCCUACUUCCUUUAGAUAGCUUCUCUACUAUCACCUCAGAGAAGUCCUUCUGGACCCACUAAUUGAGGAAAGGAGUUUUGUGGGGUGUUUUGUUUUUGUUUGUUUUGUUAAAGACUCACAAAAAACUCUGUUCCUUUUCUUCCAAGCACUAUGUCAGCAUAUGAUGAGACACUCAGGUAUAUGUUUCCUACUAGACUUCUCCCCUGCUUAAAUCUAAGUCCGUGAAAGCAGGCCCUACCACCAUACCAUCCGUAUAUAGCACAAGGCAGCUCCUCAAUAAAUGUUGAAUGUGUGAGUAAUACCUACCUUUCUAGUUCAGAGAUAGAUCCAGGAUUAGCUCAGGAUCAUAUAAGCAAUAUUUGAAGGAGCACAAUAGAAAGAGGAUUCAGAAUUAGAACAGUUACGUUCUGGCUAACUUGACCUUGAUUCUGCUUUGAGUAAGUAACUUAAGCUGUCUGAUUCAAGGGGCUUUCUAUUCAGUCAUUGUUGGGAAUGUUCUUAACAGUCCUGAGUUUGUUCAUUUCAUAGAUAUCACUUGAGUAUUUUCAUGUGUCAGGCACAGCGCUGACUUGGUUUCUGCUAUCAAAGGACACAGACACAAAUUGUAAACAAAUAAAUGCUCAAAUGAGCAUAUGGUUACAUAUGUGGUGGUGCUUUGAAAGAAUAUUACAGGGAACCUUGAGAACAUGUAACAGGCAAACCCAUCCUAGUCAGCAGAAGUGACAUUUAAGCUGAAUCAUCUAAAGAGUAGGUAAGAGUCAGGUGGGUGGAGAGAGUGCAGUUCUGGCAGAAAGAAUAGGUUGAAGAGAGAUCUGAAAGUGGGAAGAAUUUAGUAAGUUGGGGAAACUGAAAGAAGGCCAGGAGAGCUGAAGCACUGUGAGCAACGGAGAGAUUGAUAAAAAAUGAGGCUCAAAAUAUCUGUCUUAUACCAACAGCCAAUACCAUGCUCAAAGAGAAAACUCUGCAAGUAUUCACUUAAAAUAGAAGAAAACAAGCAUAGCCGCUAUUAUGUAACAUUUUUGUGGAAAUUUCAGCCUGUGCAAUAAAAUAAGAAACAGAAGGAAGCAGUAUAACUUUGGAGGAAAGAGUAAAAUUGUCGGCAGGGCGCAGUGGCUCACACCUGUAAUCCCAGCACUUUGGGAAGCCAAGGCGGGUGGAUCACCUGAGGUCAGGAGUUCGAGACCAACCUGGCCAACAUGGUGAAACCCCAUCUCUACUAAAAAUACAAAAAAUUACCCGAGCAUGGUGACAGGCUUCUGUAAUCCCAGCUACUCGGGAGGCUGAGGCAGGAGAAUCACUUGAACCCAGGAGGUGGAGGUUGCAGUGAACCAAGAUGGCACCCUUGCACUCCAUCCUAGGCAACAAGAGUGAAACUCCAUCUCAAAAAAAACCAAAAAAAGUAAAA